Molecule: transfer RNA, 75 nt
Filed under: Betaproteobacteria bacterium RIFCSPLOWO2_02_FULL_63_19
Lineage: Bacteria; Pseudomonadati; Pseudomonadota; Betaproteobacteria
Description: tRNA-Gly
Rfam family: tRNA
About the family: Transfer RNA (tRNA) molecules are approximately 80 nucleotides in length.
Source: RNAcentral
GCAGACAUGGCUUAACGGGCAGAGCGCGACGUUGCCAGCGUCGAGGCGCGGGUUCAAGACCUGCUGUCUGCACCA